AUUGAACGCUGGCGGCAUGCUUUACGCAUGCAAGUCGAACGGUAACAGGCCUUCGGGUGCUGACGAGUGGCGCACGGGUGCGUAAUGCAUCGGAACGUGCCCAGAGGUGGGGGAUAACGCAGCGAAAGCUGUGCUAAUACCGCAUGUGAUCUGAGGAUGAAAGCGGGGGACCAGGCAGCAAUGUUUGGCCUCGCGCCUUUUUAGCGGCCGAUGUCCGAUUAGGUAGUUGGUGGGGUAAAGGCCUACCAAGCCGACGAUCUGUAGCUGGUCUGAGAGGACGACCAGACACACUGGGACUGAGACACGGCCCAGACUCCUACGGGAGGCAGCAGUGGGGAAUAUUGGACAAUGGGCGAAAGCAUGAUCCAGCAAUGCCGCGUGCGGGAAGAAGGACUUCGGGUUGUAAACAGCUUUUGUACGGAACGAAAAGGAUCUGGCUAAUACCUGGGGCUGAUGACGGUAACGUAAGAAUAAGCACCGGCUAACUACGUG
This 492-nucleotide ribosomal RNA is filed under the name uncultured bacterium. RNAcentral describes it as "partial 16S ribosomal RNA". It matches the Rfam family "Bacterial small subunit ribosomal RNA", at positions 30 to 507 of the family's 1533-position model. The record is from RNAcentral.